Molecule: long non-coding RNA, 531 nt
Filed under: Mytilus galloprovincialis (Mediterranean mussel)
Lineage: Eukaryota; Metazoa; Mollusca; Bivalvia; Mytilida; Mytilidae
Source: RNAcentral
CAUUAUAUUACAUGUCUGCUCGUUUGACGUGCUAACCAUGUGGUGUGGAACACAUGAAUAUUACAUGUCUGCUCGUUUAACAUGCUAACAUUGUGGUGAGGACAUGAAUAUUACAUGUCUGCUCGUUUGACGUGCUAACCAUGUGGUGUGGAACACAUGAAUAUUACAUGUCUGGUCGUUUAUCAUGCUUACCUUGUGAUGUGGAACACAUGAAUAUCACAUGUCUGGUCUUUUAACAUGCUAGCCUUGUGGUGUGGAACACAUGAAUAUCACAUGAUUCUUAUAUGGAAAUCAUGUUAAAAAAAAAUUGCCAAUGUUUCCUCAGUUAUUUUCACUGAACCCCAAUCUGACCCCAUUUAAAAGAGCUUAAAAAUCUUCCGUAAACAUAUACAUGGUCAAACCUAAAACACAGUGACAGUUUAAAGAAAAGAUUUUUGUUGUCUCAAACCAAAUACUUUGACAGAAAUAUAAAGACUGGAAUUGAGCUUGUCACACAAAGACGACAUUUUAUUGAACAUUCACCUACAAAAA